This 859-nucleotide ribosomal RNA is filed under the name uncultured bacterium. Its description in RNAcentral is "bacterial SSU rRNA". It matches the Rfam family "Bacterial small subunit ribosomal RNA", at positions 1 to 845 of the family's 1533-position model. The record is from RNAcentral.
GGAUCCGACUUUGAUUCUGGCUCAGGACGAACGCUGGCGGCGUGCCUAAUACAUGCAAGUUGAGCGCUGAAGGUUGGUACUUGUACCGACUGGAUGAGCAGCGAACGGGUGAGUAACGCGUGGGGAAUCUGCCUUUGAGCGGGGGACAACAUUUGGAAACGAAUGCUAAUACCGCAUAAAAACUUUAAACACAAGUUUUAAGUUUGAAAGAUGCAAUUGCAUCACUCAAAGAUGAUCCCGCGUUGUAUUAGCUAGUUGGUGAGGUAAAGGCUCACCAAGGCGAUGAUACAUAGCCGACCUGAGAGGGUGAUCGGCCACAUUGGGACUGAGACACGGCCCAAACUCCUACGGGAGGCAGCAGUAGGGAAUCUUCGGCAAUGGACGAAAGUCUGACCGAGCAACGCCGCGUGAGUGAAGAAGGUUUUCGGAUCGUAAAACUCUGUUGGUAGAGAAGAACGUUGGUGAGAGUGGAAAGCUCAUCAAGUGACGGUAACUACCCAGAAAGGGACGGCUAACUACGUGCCAGCAGCCGCGGUAAUACGUAGGUCCCGAGCGUUGUCCGGAUUUAUUGGGCGUAAAGCGAGCGCAGGUGGUUUAUUAAGUCUGGUGUAAAAGGCAGUGGCUCAACCAUUGUAUGCAUUGGAAACUGGUAGACUUGAGUGCAGGAGAGGAGAGUGGAAUUCCAUGUGUAGCGGUGAAAUGCGUAGAUAUAUGGAGGAACACCGGUGGCGAAAGCGGCUCUCUGGCCUGUAACUGACACUGAGGCUCGAAAGCGUGGGGAGCAAACAGGAUCAGAUAUCCUGGUAGUCCACGCCGUAAACGAUGAGUGCUAGAUGUAGGGAGCUAUAAGUUCUCUGUA